Molecule: ribosomal RNA, 492 nt
Filed under: uncultured bacterium
Lineage: Bacteria
Description: partial 16S ribosomal RNA
Rfam family: Bacterial small subunit ribosomal RNA
Source: RNAcentral
AGUGAACGCUGGCGGUAGGCCUAACACAUGCCAGUCGAACGGCAGCACAGUAAGAGCUUGCUCUUACGGGUGGCGAGUGGCGGACGGGUGAGGAAUACAUCGGAAUCUACUUUUUCGUGGGGGAUAACGUAGGGAAACUUACGCUAAUACCGCAUACGACCUACGGGUGAAAGCAGGGGAUCUUCGGACCUUGCGCGAUUGAAUGAGCCGAUGUCGGAUUAGCUAGUUGGCGGGGUAAAGGCCCACCAAGGCGACGAUCCGUAGCUGGUCUGAGAGGAUGAUCAGCCACACUGGAACUUAGACACGGUCCAGACUCCUACGGGAGGCAGCAGUGGGGAAUAUUGGACAAUGGGCGCAAGCCUGAUCCAGCCAUACCGCGUGGGUGAAGAAGGCCUUCGGGUUUUAAAGCCCUUUUGUUGGGAAAGAAAAGCAGCAGGUUAAUACCCCGCUGUUCUGACGGUACCCAAAGAAUAAGCACCGGCUAACUUCGUG